This 296-nucleotide long non-coding RNA is filed under the name Saimiri boliviensis boliviensis (Bolivian squirrel monkey). RNAcentral describes it as "lncRNA (ENSSBOG00000036434.1)". The record is from RNAcentral. Lineage: Eukaryota; Metazoa; Chordata; Mammalia; Primates; Cebidae.
CGUGGUUCCAGCGCUGCGCGCAGGCCGGUCCCGCAGGGGGCAGGGAAGGGGGCCGGACGGGCGGAGCGAGAGGAGCACCGUGCAUCAAGUCACCAGGGUGGUCCAUUCAAGCUGCAGAUUUGUUUGUCAUCCUUGUACAACAGUCUCCUCCUCCACUGCCACUACAGGGAAGUGCAUCACAUGUCAGCAUCCCAGAGCAUAGUGAAAGAGUCUAUUUUGAAGUCUCAAACGUAGUGCUGUUGCAGACCAGAAACAAGAGAGAAAGAGUGGAUUUCAGCCUACGCGGAUGGUCUUGA